GGCGAUUCGACUUUUCUAUACCUCAUCCGCUUAUAAUGAUCGCGGCCAAGAAACAUGUGGCCGGUUGGGGCUAU
RNAcentral lists this transfer RNA (74 nucleotides) under Corynebacterium pseudotuberculosis. RNAcentral describes it as "tRNA-Met". The record is from RNAcentral. Lineage: Bacteria; Bacillati; Actinomycetota; Actinomycetes; Mycobacteriales; Corynebacteriaceae.